AUGUGCUGGUGGCAAACCCUUCCCCAAUCACAACAGCCGCCAGAGCCGCCGCGCCUCUCCUUCCUCCUCGCCGCCCCCUGUCGCGCGCGCAUCCCUCGGAUCAUCGUGCCCAACUCCCCUUCGUGUUUCUCCUCCUCCCAGAACCACAUCCCGUCGCUUAGGCUCCUUGGUGGCGGCCGGCUCGAGGCGAGCCUGGCGCAGGCAGGGAGAAGCAGCGGGGCGGCGGAUGCGGGCGGGAGAGUGCCGGACGGCACCGUCAUUGUCGCCCCGCCAAGACGCAUCGAAGAAGGACCAGGAUCUCACCCGCGUCCCUUCUGGAUGCACCUCCCCAGUGAUUUCCUCCUGCCUAAUUCAGCUCCCCUUUCCAUCUAA
This 372-nucleotide ribosomal RNA is filed under the name Triticum aestivum (bread wheat). RNAcentral's name for it is "partial small subunit ribosomal RNA". Lineage: Eukaryota; Viridiplantae; Streptophyta; Magnoliopsida; Poales; Poaceae. The record is from RNAcentral.